GAACAUUGAGCCUUGAUGUGUAGGAUAGGUGGGAGGCUUUGAAGCGUGGACGCCAGUCUGCGUGGAGCCGACCUUGAAAUACCACCCUUUAAUGUUUGAUGUUCUAACGUGGACCCGUAAUCCGGGUUGCGGACAGUGUCUGGUGGGUAGUUUGACUGGGGCGGUCUCCUCCUAAAGAGUAACGGAGGAGCACGAAGGUUGGCUAAUCCUGGUCGGACAUCAGGAGGUUAGUGCAAUGGCAUAAGCCAGCUUGACUGCGAGCGUGACGGCGCGAGCAGGUGCGAAAGCAGGUCAUAGUGAUCCGGUGGUUCUGAAUGGAAGGGCCAUCGCUCAACGGAUAAAAGGUACUCCGGGGAUAACAGGCUGAUACCGCCCAAGAGUUCAUAUCGACGGCGGUGUUUGGCACCUCGAUGUCGGCUCAUCACAUCCUGGGGCUGAAGUAGGUCCCAAGGGUAUGGCUGUUCGCCAUUUAAAGUGGUACGCGAGCUGGGUUUAGAACGUCGUGAGACAGUUCGGUCCCUAUCUGCCGUGGGCGCUGGAGAACUGAGGGGGGCUGCUCCUAGUACGAGAGGACCGGAGUGGACGCAUCACUGGUGUUCGGGUUGUCAUGCCAAUGGCACUGCCCGGUAGCUAAAUGCGGAAGAGAUAAGUGCUGAAAGCAUCUAAGCACGAAACUUGCCCCGAG
This 685-nucleotide ribosomal RNA is filed under the name Salmonella enterica subsp. enterica serovar Infantis. RNAcentral describes it as "partial 23S ribosomal RNA". It matches the Rfam family "Bacterial large subunit ribosomal RNA", at positions 2119 to 2803 of the family's 2925-position model. Lineage: Bacteria; Pseudomonadati; Pseudomonadota; Gammaproteobacteria; Enterobacterales; Enterobacteriaceae. The record is from RNAcentral.